Molecule: long non-coding RNA, 780 nt
Organism: Papilio machaon (common yellow swallowtail)
Lineage: Eukaryota; Metazoa; Arthropoda; Insecta; Lepidoptera; Papilionidae
Exons: 3
Source: RefSeq, a predicted model, not a curated record
UAAUUGCGAGCACCACCUACGCCCUACGUCCGACCGCCAAGCGAAUUAUCUGCACGGUGCGUUGCUCCACGCUCUCUACGUGCGUCAAGCGAGGAUAAUGUUUUGAUAAUAAAACUUGUAAUUACGACCGUCGCCAAAUAAAACGCCUACGCGUCGGUCGACAUGUGCACUUGUAGCGGCGAACCUGGACCUAAGUAAGAAUUGUACGAUGCGGAGCUAGGUCCCGCGGGCCGGACUCGGGCGGGGCUGCACCCUAAUGCAAUGAUUCAUAUUAUUCGGUUUGCGGGCGAGUUGAACGUCUUCCAUUAUUGUCAUUCAUCGGAGGAAGUGGGCGGUGAGGGGCGGCGCGGGCACCGUCGGCCCCCGCGCGCGCGGCGAUCCUCAGUCGCUCGCCGACACUCUCGCCGUCCGUACGCGAGAGCCGUGAUGCAACUUGGCUCCGCUUGACGCAUUCGUUCGCGAACCGUGUGUGUGUGCUUCGCGAGUAGCGAGAUCGCAGCCUGAGCCGGAGCCGCGUGCAGUGCACCGUCACCAGUGCGGAGGAUUCUGCGCGAGCCGCCAGCUCAACGAGUGUGCGACGACCGCGGUGUCGGCCCAGCUGAUUGCAGCGUGCUGCCUGUCGCCAGCCGCCAGCGAGCGCACGGUACGUACCGAGAGGCAACAUCGGGUCAUCGAACAAACAACGAGUAAAACGACUUAUUGGAGCAGCGGCGGUUGCCGUUCGGCGAGCGUAGAGGGCGCGGGCGCGGUGACUGUAGCGGGUGCGGGUGGGGGCGGGGG